AUGAGCUGCGCUCCUUUGCCGGGGGAGAUGUGCUCUUGUCCACUCCAGACCCUGUUUGCCUGGGUAUCAGCAGCAGAGGCUGCAGAAGAUAGAAUAUUUCUGAACAGCGAGUGUACCUGUCUGAUUCUUGCUUUGGAAGCUUCCUCUCAGGGGUGUACUCCACCCUGUGAGGUGUGGGGUGUCAGACUGCCCCUAGUGGGGGAUGUCUCCCAGUUAGGCUACUCAGGGGUCAGGGACCCGCUUGAGCAGGCAGUCUGUCCCUUCUCAGAUCUCAACCUCCGUGUUGGGAGAUCCACUGCUCUCUUCAAAGCUGUCAGACAGAGUCGAUUGCGUCUGCAGAGGUGUCUGCUGCUUUGUUAUUGUUUACUGUGCCCUGCCCCCAGAGGUGGAGUCUACAGAGACAGGCAGGUUUCCUUGAGCUGCUGUGAGCUCCACCCAGUUCGAGCUUCCCAGCAGCUUUGUUUACCUACUUAAGCCUCAGCAAUGGCGGGCGCCCCUCCCCCAGCCUUGCUGCUGCCUUGCCGGUAGAUCACAGACUGCUGUGAUAGCAAUGAGGGAGGCUCCGUGGGUGUGGGACCCUCCCGGCAGGUGUGGGAUAUGAUCUCCUGGUGUGCCUGUUUGCUCAAAGCGCAGUAUUGGGGUGGGAGUUACCCGAUUCUCCAGGUGUUGUGUGUCUCAGUUCCCCUGGCUAGGAAAAGGGAUUCCCUUCCCCCUUGGGCUUCCCAGGUGAGGCAAUGCCUCGCCCUGCUUCAGCUCUAGCUGGUCGGGCUGCAGCAGCUGACCAGUACCGAUUGUCUGGCACUCCCCAGUGAGAUGAACCCAGUACCUCAGUUGAAAAUGCCGAAAUCACCAGUCUUCUGUGUCGCUGGCGCUGGGAGUUGGAGACUGGAGCUGCUCCUAUUUGGCCAUCUUGCUCCCUCCCGGCUCUAUAUUCUUUAAUGGAAUUUGCUACUUACUCAGAGUACUCAAUUUACUUACAUAUCCUAGGUCAUUUUUACUCAGCUAUGUUAGCUCAUGUCGACAAAAAGAGUCAAAUUCUGUGAAGUAUAUUAAGAGAUUUAUUUUGAGCCAAAUGUCAGUGACCAGGGCCCAUGACACAGCCCUCAGGAGGUCCUGAGAACAUGUGCCCAAAGUGGUCGGGAUACAGCUUGGUUUUACACAUUUUAGGGAGGCACGAGGCAUCAAUAAAAUACAUUUAAGAAAUACAUUGGUUUGGUCCAGAAAGGCAGGACAACUCAAAGCAGGGGCUUCCAGGCUAUAGGUAAAUUUAAACAUUUUCUGAUUGACAAUUGGUUGAGUUUAUCUGAAGACCUGGGAUCAAUGGAAAGGAAUGUUCAGGUUAAGAUAAAGGAUUGUGGAGACCAACUUUUAUUGUGCAGAGGAAGCUCUCAGCUGACUUCAGAGAGAGAGCAGGUUGUAAAAUGUUUCUUAUCAGACCUAAAAGGGUGCCUGGCUCUUAGCUGUUUUAUCUCCUGGAUCUGGAAAGAAAGGAAAAAAAAAAAAAAAAAAAACAAGGGGGAAAGGGGGUUAUCUAUAGGAUGUGGAUUUUUCCUACAAGAGACUUCGCCAGGCAGUUUCAAGGUAUGGCAAGGAAAUACAUUUUAGGGUUAAAUAUUUUUUUUUCCUUGUCUUGUAAUGUUAUUCCAGAGCCAGAUUGAAAAGUAAGUCAUGAUACAUAGGGUCAAAUAAAACCCAUCUGAUGAGGAUUUAUGGUUUGCAGGGCAUGACUUCCUAGACCCCUUAGGUAGGAAUUUGGGCAAAAUAAAAAAUCAGAGCUUAGUCCUCACUCAGAAAUUUCAAAGAUUCUUUCCCGUUCUCAAUCUCCUGACAGGUAUCCUCCAUCUUCCUGCCACUUCCUAGGCUUCAUCGGCUUAGCUCCUUUUAUGCGUUGAUUUAAGGCUUUUGAUUAACUAAAAAUAAACUUUAUAAAUCAUAAUUCAUUUGAAUAUCUGAGUUUUCUA
This is a long non-coding RNA of Papio anubis (olive baboon), 1961 nucleotides long. NCBI's taxonomy places the organism in Eukaryota, Metazoa, Chordata, Mammalia, Primates, Cercopithecidae. The record is from Ensembl.